This is a long non-coding RNA of Glycine soja, 363 nucleotides long. RefSeq lists it as uncharacterized. The record is from RefSeq and is a predicted model, not a curated record. The transcript is spliced from 4 exons. NCBI's taxonomy places the organism in Eukaryota, Viridiplantae, Streptophyta, Magnoliopsida, Fabales, Fabaceae.
CUCACACUUGGGAAGCCAUGAGAAAGCCAAAGAAGCAAUAUUUUAUUCAUACAAUAAACACAUCAAUGGUUUUGCUGUUGUACUUGAAGAGGAAGAUGCACAAGAAAUAUCAAUGCAGAAAAUCCAAAUGUAGUGUUGUGUUUCUGAACAAAGGGCAUGAAUUGCAAACUACUAGAUCAUGGGAAUUUCUUGGGCUAGAGAGUGAUGGAGUGGUUCCCAAUGAUUCCAUAUGGUGAGGGUGUAAUCAUUGAUAACAUUGAUACAGGCGUUUGGCCUGAAUCUAAAAGUUUUAGUGAUGAGGGAAUGUGCCCUGUUCCAUCAAGAUGGCGCGGAAUCUGCCAACUUGACAAUUUUAUUUGCAAC